RNAcentral lists this ribosomal RNA (300 nucleotides) under uncultured archaeon. RNAcentral describes it as "bacterial SSU rRNA". The stretch from base 55 to 300 matches the Rfam family "Bacterial small subunit ribosomal RNA", at positions 551 to 795 of the family's 1533-position model. The record is from RNAcentral.
GAAAGUAGGGGGGAGAGAGCGGGGGAAUACGGGGGGAUGGAGGGUGGUCCGGGGUCAUAGGGCGUAAAAAGGUCGUAGGCGGCGUGGUAAGUCGGAUGGAAAACAUCCAGGCUCAGCCUGGAGUCGCCAGCCGAUACGGCGAUGGCUAGAGUCCGGUAGGGGCCCACGGAAUGCCUGGUGUAGCGGUGAAAUGCGCAGAUAUCAGGAGGAACACCGGUGGCGAAGGCGGUGGGCUGGGCCGGCACUGACGCUGAGGAGCGAAAGCGUGGGGAGCGAACAGGAUUAGAUACCCGGGUAGUC